UUGAAAGAGAAGAGAUCGGCGUCUUCAGCAGCACAGAAGGGAUUGCUGAUGUUAUUGGCCAUGGCAAGAGUCAAUGAAAGAAGGAAUCCUCAGGGAUGGAGCGAGCAGUACCACUCUUCCUCUCCGACCCUCCAUUCCUUUCAAAAGAAGAGAAAUCUUACCACAAGGAUGUGGGAAAAGUUCUUAAAGCUUCAAUGGUUCGAUUUCGGCCAGCAUCGUUGACUGCUGCCAACGUUGUGUGAAGGCACGGCAUCUCUUUGAGCGGAGGAACGGUGGAGCUUGCAGCAGAUGGGGCAACAGCAGUCGUGAAACGCUCACACACCGGGGACUCGACAAUCACUCUCAAAUGAAGUUGUGCAACCAGGAAACAGAAAAGGGAUUUCUUGGUUGUGGUUAAGGCUAAUAUCUUCCCUGUUUUUCGAAUGGAUUUAGUUAGAAAUACAGAUAGCUUAGUUAAGCAUUGAUCCAACUGAAAAUUAAAGAACAAAGUUCUGACUUGCAACUAUUCAUUUUUCAGGUUUCACAAGACUUGUUUAAUGUAUUUUUCAUGCAUAAAAAAAAAAAAAUCCACCAGCACCUACCAGUCCGCUCGCCGGACCUCAAUAUCCCUCCCAGCAGGUGGUGUGUCCACAUGGAAGCGGUUUCCUGUAUUUUCUUCAGACUGAAACCAUGUGCGUGCUGGCAAGAUAUCUCCUCCAUCCUGACUCAUGAAAGAUGGACACAUUUUAAGCAGGGAGAAUAUAUUGAUUUCUUCUUACCGAAUGAUGCUGUUUUCCUAUGUAGUCACAGCCAUCAUGACUGAAAGAACAAGAACCAAGAAGGGGAGCGUGGAGUAGAGUUACUCCUCCUCUGCAUCCCAUCAGGAUGUGUCCAGGAGGCCCCCAUCUGAGCGUUUCCUAAGCAUAUUCCACUGGGAGACGGCAAGGCAAUUUCAUUUGUUUAGCACAUUUACAUGAUUAGAAGAAAAUAAGCAAAAAAGCAUUACAUUACACUGACAAAGUAAGGUAAAAUGUAGACUUAAAAAAGUCUACAUUUCAUGAAUUCCCAGUUGUUACUAAUCAAAAACUGUUCUAAAAACAGUGAGGUUUUAGCCUUGAUUUAAAAGAAAUCAGUAGUUCAUAAAAUAUGGAAGUUUGUUACAAAAAAAGAGAAGCAUAAAACUGAAUGAUUCUCUAAAAAGUGAAAUGUACUGACCGUCGAACUUGGCUUAAAAAAUUUUAACUAAUGCAUUUGCAUGAAUUAAGCAUGAACUAUAUAAUAUCCUAGCAAAAUUGCCUCAAAACAGUCUUUUGAAACUGCAACAUUAAACAUGUGGAUACUGUCAUAAUGAUUGAUGUAUUUUGAUAUUUUGUGCAACUUUGGUUUAGUUUCAUGGCAUUAGUGUCAGCCUGUGCUUUUACCUUCAAUGCAAUUAACACAGUAGUUCACCGAGACCUUAGCAGGUUCUGCAAUAUUUGGUUUUGUGUAAUGUUUCAACAAAAAUAAUGUCCAGUAAAACAUGUCAUAGAAAUUGAUAGGAAAAGUAAAUAUUGCUAUUGUUUUCUUGUCAUUAAAAUAUUCUUGAAACAGUGCAGGUUUUUUUUUUUUUUACAUUUCAAAUCAAAACAAGUUAAUUCAGUCAGUAAUGUGUGGAAAAGUUUUAGCUUUAGCUUUUCACCUAACAGGAGUCAAGUCUUAAACUAGAUUCCUUGGUAAAUAAUACAAACAAUGUCAACAUACUGUAAAACUGCAGGUAUUUUUUUAGAAUGCAGCCUGGA
Poecilia reticulata (guppy) is the source of this 1757-nucleotide long non-coding RNA. RefSeq lists it as uncharacterized. The record is from RefSeq and is a predicted model, not a curated record. NCBI's taxonomy places the organism in Eukaryota, Metazoa, Chordata, Actinopteri, Cyprinodontiformes, Poeciliidae.